UACGGAGGGGGCGAGCGUUAUUCGGAAUUAUUGGGCGUAAAGGGCGCGUAGGCGGCUCUGUAAGUCAAAGGUGAAAUCCCUCGGCUCAACUGAGGAACUGCCUUUGAAACUGCAGGGCUUGAGGCCGGGAGGGGGUAGCGGAAUUCCCAAUGUAGCGGUGAAAUGCGUAGAUAUUGGGAGGAACACCAGUGGCGAAGGCGGCUACCUGGACCGGUUCUGACGCUGAGGCGCGAAAGCGUGGGUAGCAAACAGG
This 253-nucleotide ribosomal RNA is filed under the name uncultured bacterium. Its description in RNAcentral is "partial 16S ribosomal RNA". It matches the Rfam family "Bacterial small subunit ribosomal RNA", at positions 524 to 776 of the family's 1533-position model. The record is from RNAcentral.